RNAcentral lists this long non-coding RNA (356 nucleotides) under Physcomitrium patens. RNAcentral describes it as "long non-coding RNA (PPAT_LNC010941)". The record is from RNAcentral. Lineage: Eukaryota; Viridiplantae; Streptophyta; Bryopsida; Funariales; Funariaceae.
CAACAUUCCAACAACAAUGGAACUUCAGCAAAUCAUCUAAGUUUUCAUCUACAAAAAAAUAUCCAAAAUUUUUAUCUAAACUCUAUCCAACAAAUUUCAUCCAUGGUAUUGUUCAACUAACUUUGAUACCUUGUUACAAAUAACAAAUGUGUUAUUAAAACAUAAUGGAUAUCAUUUGUUGCAAAUGAAAUGUGCUGGAAGCGAAGGGGAGAGCACUUCCAAUGUCUUAUUUAAGAGCUAGAUAAAUCACAGCUUUUGGUACAUUUAAUAUGGGACAUUCAAUAGAAAAGCUGGAAGAAGUUACAAUAUCUUAGCCAUUGCUCUCUACCAAAUUUUGUGAAGUGCCUUCCAAUGCU